Long non-coding RNA from Cynoglossus semilaevis (tongue sole), 656 nucleotides. RefSeq lists it as uncharacterized. The record is from RefSeq and is a predicted model, not a curated record. NCBI's taxonomy places the organism in Eukaryota, Metazoa, Chordata, Actinopteri, Pleuronectiformes, Cynoglossidae. The transcript has 3 exons.
UUGAAGAGGGCUCUGUCCACGCUCUGUGGAGGCAGCAGGAAACUGAAGAGGUCGACGGUGACGAGGAAGCAGCUGGGGAUCAGCAUGUUCACCACGUACAUGGUGGAACGGCGCCUCACUGAGAUCUACAGCAGGCGGCGUCUCCUACCACGCCUAAGAUGCCAAACAGAAUGAAGGAGAUGUCGACGGUGGUCGGUGUAGAUGAAUUAAUCACCGGUCGAAUGGAAUUCAGUUUGAAGACCGGCGUCAGAGCCUCCAGCAGAGCCAGCGUGUCGGGGCGAGAACAGUUCAGUGCAACGGAACUGCAACCAGCUACGGACGAGAGGACAGAGACGUGUACGUGCUGCUGUUGAAGGUCACAGUUUGUAUUCAGUUUAUAGUCAAUAUGAGAUGAUGACUGUAACUUAAAUUACAGAGAAUAAUGUCAAAAAAAUGUUGUUCUCUCUACUUUGCAGUUGAAAAACUAAAAUGUAGUUCUUGGAAAAACACUGGGCGUAAACACCUACAAAUGAAUACAACAACUGCCAAAUGUGAUGGGCAGCAGGUCGUUCAUGAUGAGCAGGAAGACGGUGUAGCCCAGGAUGAGGGUCAUCUUGAAGGAGGAUCUGUCCACAGUAUGAGGAGGCAGCAGGAAACUGAAGAGGUCGACUGUGAUC